This 440-nucleotide ribosomal RNA is filed under the name uncultured Tepidanaerobacter sp. Its description in RNAcentral is "bacterial SSU rRNA". It matches the Rfam family "Bacterial small subunit ribosomal RNA", at positions 338 to 795 of the family's 1533-position model. The record is from RNAcentral. Lineage: Bacteria; Bacillati; Bacillota; Clostridia; Thermosediminibacterales; Tepidanaerobacteraceae.
CCUACGGGAGGCUGCAGUGGGGAAUUUUGCGCAAUGGGGGAAACCCUGACGCAGCGACGCCGCGUGAGCGAAGAAGGCCUUCGGGUCGUAAAGCUCAGUCAUUGGGGAUGAAAAGGACAGUACCCAAGGAGGAAGCCCCGGCUAACUACGUGCCAGCAGCCGCGGUAAUACGUAGGGGGCGAGCGUUGUCCGGAAUUACUGGGUGUAAAGGGCGUGUAGGCGGGGAUGCAAGUUACCGGUAAAAACCCGAGGCUCAACCACGGGCUUGCCGAUAAAACUGUGUCUCUUGAGUAUAGGAGAGGGAAAUGGAAUUCCCGGAGUAGCGGUGAAAUGCGUAGAUACCGGGAGGAACACCAGUGGCGAAGGCGGUUUCCUGGCCUAUCACUGACGCUGAGGCGCGAAAGCUAGGGUAGCGAACGGGAUUAGAUACCCGAGUAGUC